AACGAACAAAACAUCACCAGAUGUUAAUGCGGGCAUCUUCCAGGUUAGGAGACAGACCAGGUGGAAAUCGAACCUCAACGCUGUGCUGAUCAGGCAACUGGAGAGCCUGACAUGACCCACUAUCGGAUUCGAUGAAGCCAUGAAGACAGGUUCCCCAUGAUGGCUUUGGUUGCUUUUUAUGAAGGGGAAGGAAGAUCUAAGCAGGCAAGCUUGUCCUCCAUGUUUUGAUACAGUGAGAAAGCACUUGCCAGACGCCAAGGCCAUGUUUUUGGACUUCCCAUGCUUCCCUGAAUGUAGUAUCCAGCGAUAUCCACAGAAGACAAACCUAGACAUCCUAGCUAGGUCUACUUCUCUGUCUCUGAUGCCCGUCCCUGAUCUCCCCACAGGCCUCCCCAUGGCCUGGGCUACCUGCUCAUCUCUCUACUCACACUUGAUCUGUGCACCUGAGCCUGAGAGAGCUUUUUGGGAUGGAUCACAUUACUUUGAGCUCUUAACCCUUGAGCUGGGAUGUCUGCCAUGAUGACCUCUGCAAGGUUACAGUCCAUCAAUUGAGAGAAGCUAAAAAAAGAAGCUUGAAGCAGAAACCAUGGAGUACUGCCCGCUGUAUUGCUCUUCAUGACUCGCUCAUCUACCAUCCUUAUAUUACCCAGUACCACCUGUCUAGACAUGGCACCACUCAUAGUGGGCUGGACGCUCCCACAUCAAUCAUCAGCUCUUAAAAAAAAAGUGCUGUAAUUCCUCAAGGCACUUAGGCAUUCUCCUUCACUCCUCUGUCCUUUGAGCCAAGGCUAGUGCUCACCAUAAACAUUUAAAAAAAGUAUCAAUUAAAUAUGUGAAAACAAAAACAAGUCAUCAUUUGAAGCCAUCUCUAGCCUCAGGCUCUGCAUAGAACAGCCAACUACUGACUUAUCUUUGUAAUUAAUUAAAUUUGUUCUUUCAUUAUUUUAUACACAUGUGGAAUACAUCUUGAUUGCUUUCACUCGCUCCUAUUUCCCUCCUUUCCUUAUCCACACCCCAAGUCUAUUGACCUCA
Meriones unguiculatus (Mongolian gerbil) is the source of this 1032-nucleotide long non-coding RNA. RefSeq lists it as uncharacterized. The record is from RefSeq and is a predicted model, not a curated record. The transcript is spliced from 3 exons. Lineage: Eukaryota; Metazoa; Chordata; Mammalia; Rodentia; Muridae.